UGCUGAUGAACAUCUCAAGUAUCAAAUCCGCUGUUCUUUUCUUGAGAUAUACAAUGAGCAAAUAACAGAUUUAUUGGAUCCAAAUCAAAGAAACUUGCAGAUAAGAGAAGAUGUAAAAUCUGGUGUCUAUGUUGAGAAUUUGACAGAAGAGUAUGUGAAUUCAAUGAAGGGAUUGACUAAGCUACUGUUAAAGG
This is a long non-coding RNA of Hibiscus syriacus, 194 nucleotides long. RefSeq lists it as uncharacterized. The record is from RefSeq and is a predicted model, not a curated record. The transcript is spliced from 3 exons. Lineage: Eukaryota; Viridiplantae; Streptophyta; Magnoliopsida; Malvales; Malvaceae.